RNAcentral lists this small RNA (153 nucleotides) under Chrysemys picta bellii (western painted turtle). Its description in RNAcentral is "TUC338 (ENSCPBG00000007999.1)". The record is from RNAcentral. Lineage: Eukaryota; Metazoa; Chordata; Testudines; Emydidae.
UGGCAAGCCCUGGAAACUGAAGCUCUCUUUAAUCACAGAACAGGUACAACACAGGCAGAAACAAUGCAUACCUCCCCACGCCCACUAUGAGCCUCAAUCCUGAACCAGGAGUGACAGGAUCUCAAUCCCACACCAGUCCCCUGAGUUCCCACC